AGUUCUGAUUGGGCAAUUGCUGCAGGAAAUACAAAUUUCCUUGCAGAGGAAAGUCCGAACUCCGAAGAACAGGGUGCCGGGUAACGCCCGGGAACCAAGGUGAAAACUAAGGUUACGGAAAGUGCCGCAGAAAAGAUACCGCCCGCCUUAGGCGGGUAAGGGUGAAAAGGCAGGGUAAAAGCCUACCGCUCCGUCAGUAAUGCCGGAGGUUCCGUUAAGGAAGUCCUGUAAAAGGGACCAAGGCAAACCCCACCCGGAGCAAGGUUAAGCAGAAAGAUCCUUCUUUUUUGGAAGGGAAGGUUGUUCGCCUUUAUUCUUUCGGGUAAACUGCUGGAUUAUGAUAGCAAUAUCAUAACAAGAUAAAUAAUUGCCAUCCGCCUUAGGCGGAUUACAGAAUUCGGCUUAUAGAUCUGGGCUGCUU
Molecule: RNase P RNA, 421 nt
Filed under: Ignavibacteria bacterium
Lineage: Bacteria; Pseudomonadati; Ignavibacteriota; Ignavibacteria
Description: RNase P RNA component class A
Rfam family: Bacterial RNase P class A
About the family: Ribonuclease P (RNase P) is a ubiquitous endoribonuclease, found in archaea, bacteria and eukarya as well as chloroplasts and mitochondria. Its best characterised activity is the generation of mature 5'-ends of tRNAs by cleaving the 5'-leader elements of precursor-tRNAs.
Source: RNAcentral